CGUGUAGGCGGAUGGGGACGUCGGUUGUUGAAAGCCCCCGGCUCAACCGGGGAACUGGCGCCGAAACGCCCUGUCUAGAGGAGCGUAGGGGGACCUGGAACUUCCGGUGGAGCGGUGAAAUGCGUUGAGAUCGGAAGGAACGCCCGUGGCGAAAGCGAGGUCCUGGACGUUUUCUGACGCUGAGACGCGAAAGCUAGGGGAGCGAACG
This 208-nucleotide ribosomal RNA is filed under the name uncultured bacterium. RNAcentral's name for it is "partial 16S ribosomal RNA". It matches the Rfam family "Bacterial small subunit ribosomal RNA", at positions 568 to 774 of the family's 1533-position model. The record is from RNAcentral.